CCUACGGGUCGCAGCAGUGGGGAAUAUUGGGCAAUGGGCGCAAGCCUGACCCAGCAACGCCGCGUGAAGGAAGAAGGCUUUCGGGUUGUAAACUUCUUUUCUCAGGGACGAAGAAGGUGACGGUACCUGAGGACUGCGCCUCGGCUAACUACGUGCCAGCCACCGCGGUACUACGGCGGUGGCGAGCGUUAUCCGGAUUUACUGGGUGUACAGGGCGUGUAGGCGGGACUGCAAGUCAGAUGUGAAAACCACGGGCUCAACCUGUGGCCUGCAUUUGAAACUGGAGUGCGUGAGUACGGGAGAGGCAGACGGAAUGCCUGGUGUAGCGGUGAAAUGCGUAGAUAUGACGAGGAACACCAGUGGCGAAGGCGGUCUGCUGGACAGCAACUGACGCUGAGGCGCGAAAGCGUGGGUAUCAAACAGGAUUAGAUACCCUAGUAGUC
This 443-nucleotide ribosomal RNA is filed under the name uncultured bacterium. RNAcentral's name for it is "partial 16S ribosomal RNA". It matches the Rfam family "Bacterial small subunit ribosomal RNA", at positions 338 to 795 of the family's 1533-position model. The record is from RNAcentral.